GGCAGUUCUCAGGUGACAUACCCCAGAAUCAGGCUCCCUCCUCUCUGGUUCUGGAUGCAUCACCCAAGAACCGCA
Myotis brandtii (Brandt's bat) is the source of this 75-nucleotide non-coding RNA. The record is from Rfam. NCBI's taxonomy places the organism in Eukaryota, Metazoa, Chordata, Mammalia, Chiroptera, Vespertilionidae.